GGGGCCGUAGCUCAGAUGGGAGAGCGCAUGACUGGCAGUCAUGAGGUCGAGGGUUCGAUCCCCUUCGGCUCCACAA
RNAcentral lists this transfer RNA (76 nucleotides) under Deltaproteobacteria bacterium. RNAcentral describes it as "tRNA-Ala". It matches the Rfam family "tRNA". From Rfam's summary of the family: Transfer RNA (tRNA) molecules are approximately 80 nucleotides in length. Their secondary structure includes four short double-helical elements and three loops (D, anti-codon, and T loops). Lineage: Bacteria; Pseudomonadati; Myxococcota; Myxococcia. The record is from RNAcentral.